UACGGGGGGUGCGAGCGUUGUCCGGAAUCACUGGGCGUAAAGGGCGCGUAGGUGGUUUGAUAAGGGUGUGGUGAAAGUCCGGGGCUCAACCCCGGAUCUGCCGUGCCGACUGUCAAACUCGAGGACUGUAGAGGCAGACGGAAUUCCGGGUGUAGCGGUGGAAUGCGUAGAGAUCCGGAGGAACACCAGUGGCGAAAGCGGCCACCUGGACUGUACCUGACGCUGACACGCGAAAGCUAGGGGAGCGAACGGG
Molecule: ribosomal RNA, 253 nt
Filed under: uncultured bacterium
Lineage: Bacteria
Description: partial 16S ribosomal RNA
Rfam family: Bacterial small subunit ribosomal RNA
Source: RNAcentral